CGAGUACUCCCUCCGUCCCAAAAUUCUUGUCUUAGAUUUGUCUAAAUACGAAUAUAUCAAGUCACGUUUUAGUAUUAGAUACACCCGUAUCUAGACAAAUCUAAGACAAGAAUUUUGGGACGAAGGGAGUAUUUC
Triticum aestivum (bread wheat) is the source of this 135-nucleotide non-coding RNA. NCBI's taxonomy places the organism in Eukaryota, Viridiplantae, Streptophyta, Magnoliopsida, Poales, Poaceae. The record is from Rfam.